Long non-coding RNA from Alligator sinensis (Chinese alligator), 856 nucleotides. RefSeq lists it as uncharacterized. NCBI's taxonomy places the organism in Eukaryota, Metazoa, Chordata, Crocodylia, Alligatoridae. The transcript has 4 exons. The record is from RefSeq and is a predicted model, not a curated record.
GGUGCCCCCCCACUCUGAAAAAAGGGGGAUUGCUGUUAGGGCAAAGCCAAACUGCAGAGACUGAAGUCUUGAACAGUAGGGCAGAGAGGAGAAAAAGGGGCAGAGGCUAUGACAGCUAAGAUCUCAACCGGUGCCUCAGCAACCUAUGGGUAUAUUCCCUUUACAGGGGAAGUACCAUGAGAAGGUGAAAAGGCCCCUAGGUGUGGCUGCUCAGAUGGGACAGAGCAGCCUACCCCGCAGAAGACUACUGCCCCAUCACAACAAGGAAUAUCAGUUGUGGCAGACGAGUGACUGGAGUUCCUGUGCCUGAUGCACUCUGCGAUAGAGCCCUGGAUUCUUGCAAAAAGAUCUCCAUGCCUUCAUAAAGCCACAGUGGAGUCAAUGGAGCUUCACCUAAGCAAAGAGCCUGAUCGACUUCUUAUGCUGUUUUACAUCAGUGCAUGUUCAGCUGAUGCCCUGGGGUUCUUCUCAGUUUGCAUGAUUGAAUAACUGUAAAGAGCUGGACACUAUACAGGCAGGCGCGAUUUGAGCAGCUGCACAUCCAAUUUAUUUUUAUGAGGUUGUGAGUGAUAAAGCCAGCAAUUCCCAGAAUGAAUUUUGGCCAAAAUAUGUUUUGAUUCUGAACUAGAUCCUUUUCCUUUAGACACUAUACACCAUAAACCUCUCAUAGAAACUCUGUAAAACACCUCUCUACAUAUCAGAUGUCUCUGAUGGUUCACUGAUCAUGAGAAUGUUUGUAAUGUAUACUAAAACUGAUUAAUAAUCAUGUUUGAGUGAAAUAUUUGAAAUAGGAUUGUGCAUAUAUAGUAUUUAGUUUAAAGGCAAUUUCACAUACAUCCCAGUGAAAUGCAGAAUC